CCUACGGGUGGCAGCAGUGGGGAAUAUUGCACAAUGGGGGAAACCCUGAUGCAGCGACGCCGCGUGAGCGAGGAAGUAUUUCGGUAUGUAAAGCUCUAUCAGCAGGGACGAAAAAAGACGGUACCUGACUAAGAAGCCCCGGCUAACUACGUGCCAGCAGCGGCGGUAAUACGUAGGGGGCAAGGGUUAUCCGGAUUUAUUGGGUUUAAGGGGUGCGCAGGCGGAGGUGCAAGUCAGCGGUCAAACUGCGGGGCUAAACCCCGUACUGCCGUUGAAACUGCAUCCCUUGAGUGCGCGAGAAGUAUGCGGAAUGCGUGGUGUAGCGGUGAAAUGCAUAGAUAUCACGCAGAACUCCGAUUGCGAAGGCAGCAUACCGGCGCGCAACUGACGCUCAUGCACGAAAGCGUGGGUAUCGAACAGGAUUAGAUACCCCAGUAGUC
This 440-nucleotide ribosomal RNA is filed under the name uncultured bacterium. Its description in RNAcentral is "partial 16S ribosomal RNA". It matches the Rfam family "Bacterial small subunit ribosomal RNA", at positions 338 to 795 of the family's 1533-position model. The record is from RNAcentral.